This is a long non-coding RNA of Cololabis saira (Pacific saury), 620 nucleotides long. RefSeq lists it as uncharacterized. NCBI's taxonomy places the organism in Eukaryota, Metazoa, Chordata, Actinopteri, Beloniformes, Belonidae. The transcript has 6 exons. The record is from RefSeq and is a predicted model, not a curated record.
AGUCAUGACUACAUUCCUGAAAAAAUCCAGUCAUAUAUAUACUGUACCAGGAUGUUCAGUAGGGAAGUUGAGACUGUAGGACUUCUCUGUAGGACUUCUCUGGAAGAUGAAAACUGAAUGGACUUCAAAUAUGCUUUGGGACACUCCAAUGGACAUAUUUAGUUUUUCUACAACCUAACAACAAACAACAAACUUAGACAUUACUUUACAACAUGUGGAGUAUUGGAUAUCACUUCUUCUGAAACAUUUGGAAACUACAUAAAUAUCCCAGGCUCGAGGAGACGGACUUAACACUCCAGUUCAGUGUGAAACAAAUCCGACUGGUGUGGAUGGAGUUGUGGUUUAUGAUGACAUAACCUAUCCUAUACGAUCUGUCCCAUCCGCUUAUAUUGGUGAAGAAGUGCCAAGGUGGAGGGACAAGGAUCUAUGGAUGACAAUUGCUUUUGCUGCUAUACAACAGGGGCUGCUGCUGCUGUUCCUGAUUAGAAUGACAUCCUAAAGUUUCAGCGGCCCAAAAGCCAUCUUUCAUAUAAUUUCAACGAAAUUUAACUUAAAGGAGCAUGAGGCUCCUUUUAAGAAAUGAGACUCAUUAGCGCCACCCUUCGCCACGACGGCCGUCG